CCCCUCCCUUCUCCGCAGCCUGGCGGCGGGGCCUGCUCAAGCACAGCCAUCCGGUGUGGGGGGAACCCCGCGGCUCAACUUCCACCACCCAGGGCUGGGGUGCACAGCCGCAGGGGACCCAGCACCCAGCCUCGGGAGGGGCGCGCAGCGGAGAGCGCGCCCCGGGCCGCGCGGCGGAGAGCGCGCCCCGGGCCGCGGCCCAGACUUUCCCCGGGUUCCCCCCCUCCUUCGACCUCACCCUCGGGCCGGGCGAGAGGAAACUAAGGAGGGCAGGGGAGCCCGCGAGGCCGGAGGCGCGGGCGCCGGGCGCCGGGCGCACCCCUGGCCCGCUCCCUAAGGAGGCGGCGGGCGGGACCCGCUCUGCUCCCGCGCCGGGCCGGUGAGAUCCGGCGCUCGCGGGCGAGGCGGGGCCGCCGUCAGCACCGCCCUCGGGGGCCAGGGAGGGGGCGGUGGGAGGCGUGCGCGCGGCGGCGGCGGCGGCUGCCCCGAGCGCCGGCCGGGGCGGAGCGGGGCUCCAGCGCGCUACCCGGCCCGGGCCGGGACCCCCGCUGCUCUCUUCAAGGCUUGUCGCCGCGGCCCCUCGAGCCCGGCCGCCGCCGCCAGCGGCGCCGGGGCGGGCCCCACGGUGAGCCCACCAGGAAGCGAUGAGGACACAGAGGCUUGUAAAGAUAAAGUGACUGAUCCAAGGUCACGCACGGGCCGGCUGCAGAGGCACCGACAUGGGGCUGAAGCUGAGCUGCCUGAAAGUCUGGCUGGAGGAGACGGGGUCGUGCCCGGAGGAUGGAGAAACAGACCCUGAGGCCUGAGGAGAAGGCACGCGUGGGUCGGGGAUUUGCCUGCACCGGCUCCUGCUCUGGCUGCCCGUCACUUGGCGUGUCCCGGGGUGCCUGGGACAGAUGUGCUGAGAACGCUGGCUGGGAAGACAGAGUGAUUCCGGCACUGGACCAGCAGAGGCGUGGCAAGAGGAGAGAGGAAUCGGCCCUGCCCUCGUCCAGAACGACAUUUCCCAGCCCCUGUAGAGUGGACCGGACCUCUGAUGCCUACAUAUUCUUGCCGACCCCGGGGCCCAGUGACGGCCAUCAGGGUACCAGGGAGAGGCUUUCUUCUAGACGGACUCCCAGCGGCCUGGGCCAUGCAGACGGGUGCCCAGGAGGUCCGCACAUACAAGGACUUCUUGCAAAGGACUGGCUUCAUUUUUUACAAGUUGUCUUACAGACAUUGACACAGUCCAAAAAGUGAUUUAUAAUUUCUUUUUUGCACUGUAAGUAAAGAUCCCAUGUAACGAGCAGUGGACCCUGCUUCUUGGGCGGGCAGAGAAGGUGGUGCACACCCGGGUACACAGGUAGGCUUCAGAGAAUCGCUUAUCAUGGAGGGGCUGGUCCGGCUGGUGAUGGGUCUUUGGAUGGUCUUGGCCCCUUGAUUUGCAGAGUGUCCUGUGCCUCCUCAUUCUGUGGCCGGCAGCUACCGGAGUGCGUUCUUGUGACAGACGCACAGAACACAAGCCAGGCCGUGCGAGAGCAUUCUCAGCUUCGGCGUGUGGGCCAAGCCAAGUCACAUGGCCAAACCCCACAUGGGUGAGCUGGGCGGUCCCAUGGCACAGGAAGGGAUGGACAUGUCUAUUAAAGGGAGGGAGAGACGGGCUGGGAAUAAUAAUCCAGUCUCCCGGCGUAGACACUAUUAUUAUCCCCAUUUUACAGAUGGGGCACUUGAGGAACCUAGAGGCUUAGAUCCCUUGCCCAAGGCCAUCAGAUAGUAAGAAUUUGAACCCAGACCCCAUACUCUUUUCUUUUUUAAUAUAAAUUUAUUUAUGUAUUUA
This is an RNA transcript of Balaenoptera acutorostrata (minke whale), 1816 nucleotides long. It is a transcript of the gene named chromosome 19 C16orf74 homolog, with no coding region annotated. The transcript has 4 exons. The record is from RefSeq and is a predicted model, not a curated record. Lineage: Eukaryota; Metazoa; Chordata; Mammalia; Artiodactyla; Balaenopteridae.